RNAcentral lists this non-coding RNA (30 nucleotides) under Methanocaldococcus jannaschii DSM 2661. Lineage: Archaea; Methanobacteriati; Methanobacteriota; Methanococci; Methanococcales; Methanocaldococcaceae. The record is from RNAcentral.
AUUAAAAUCAGACUGAUUUGGAAUGGAAAC